Molecule: ribosomal RNA, 292 nt
Filed under: uncultured bacterium
Lineage: Bacteria
Description: partial 16S ribosomal RNA
Rfam family: Bacterial small subunit ribosomal RNA
Source: RNAcentral
GUGUCAGCAGCCGCGGUAAUACGUAGGAUCCGAGCGUUGUCCGGAAUUACUGGGUGUAAAGGGCGUGUAGGUGGGUCCUUCAGUCGGUGGUGAAAUCCUGCAGCUUAACUGCAGAACUGCUUCCGAUACUGAGGAUCUUGAGUGCGGCAGAGGGAGAUGGAAUUCAUGGUGUAGCGGUGAAAUGUGUAGAUAUCAUGAAGAACACCGGUAGCGAAGGCGGUCUCCUGGUCCGUUACUGACACUGAGGCGCGAAAGCGUGGGGAGCAAACAGGAUUAGAAACCCUCGUAGUCC